RNAcentral lists this ribosomal RNA (235 nucleotides) under uncultured bacterium. RNAcentral's name for it is "partial 16S ribosomal RNA". It matches the Rfam family "Bacterial small subunit ribosomal RNA", at positions 104 to 339 of the family's 1533-position model. The record is from RNAcentral.
GGGUGCGUAACGCGUAUGCAACCUACCCUAUACAGGGGGAUAGCCCGGAGAAAUCUGGAUUAAUACCCCAUAGUACUAAGUUGAGGCAUUUUGAUUUAGUUAAAGAUUCAUCGGUAUAGGAUGGGCAUGCGUCUGAUUAGCUAGUUGGCGGUGUAACGGACCACCAAGGCGACGAUCAGUAGGGGUUCUGAGAGGAAGGUCCCCCACACUGGCACUGAGAUACGGGCCAGACUCC